RNAcentral lists this ribosomal RNA (253 nucleotides) under uncultured Stenotrophomonas sp. Its description in RNAcentral is "partial 16S ribosomal RNA". It matches the Rfam family "Bacterial small subunit ribosomal RNA", at positions 524 to 776 of the family's 1533-position model. Lineage: Bacteria; Pseudomonadati; Pseudomonadota; Gammaproteobacteria; Lysobacterales; Lysobacteraceae. The record is from RNAcentral.
UACAGAGGGUGCAAGCGUUACUCGGAAUUACUGGGCGUAAAGCGUGCGUAGGUGGUUGUUUAAGUCUGUCGUGAAAGCCCUGGGCUCAACCUGGGAAUUGCGAUGGAAACUGGGCGACUAGAGUGUGGCAGAGGGUAGUGGAAUUCCUGGUGUAGCAGUGAAAUGCGUAGAGAUCAGGAGGAACAUCCGUGGCGAAGGCGACUGCCUGGGCCAACACUGACACUGAGGCGCGAAAGCGUGGGGAGCAAGCAGG